CAUUAUACAUCUCUCUCCCCUCUCCUCUCUUUUUUCAUUCCUCACCAUCAUCACACACACUACCCUCGUCCCUCUGUUGAUUACUCAUAGAGGAAGAAAAGAAUCAACUAGGAAGUUCUCUCUUUUGAGGGGAAUGUUGUCUGGCUCAAGGCCACAAGAAAGCUCGAAUCUAUCUUUCUUAUCUAUACGUAUACACAUGUGUGAUAAGAUCCAUCCAGUUUUUGAAUGGAUUGAGCCUCAAAUGAUCUCUGAUGAUUAGUGAUUAAUGAUUAGUGUCAAACCAAUCUUGAUCAUGGGUUCUGGUGUCGUCGGACCAGGCUUCAUUCCCCUCAAUUGUCCUUCCUUUAAUAUUCAUAAAGUUUGGAUCUUUCGGAAUCUGCCCACUUUCGCUCACCAACAAGAUGAAGGCGCAGAUUGGUAUAAUGAUGAGGAAUCAUGUUUGACUUUUCUGUAAAUCGGUCAAACACCCGUAAACAGGAUGCUACUUCGAAAGUGACCAGUUUGCAAUUUAGCCAUGGAUGUAUAGAAGAAGCUUUCAGGAACAUUCGAGUUGUGAAGAAUCCCUCAACUGAUAAACUCGUUGGAACUACAUUUACAUUUAUUACGGAUUAUACAACACAUGAAUUGUUUAAUGAAGCUUAACAGCUUCAGGAGUCAUUGAUCGAGUUGGGUGUAGUUUAAGAAUGAUGCAAUCGUUUUUAGAAAGUAGAAAAGAAAAUCGAAGUGGAUCUGAGGAGGUGUUUUUACAAUAUUGUUAGCUCUCUGAAGUGCAAUGAUUUUGGGGGUUUGUUUUUUUAUUUUUAAUUAAAAAUAGGUCUUUCUUAAUUUGAGGAUUUGAUUCUGUGUAUGUCAGUAUGUGAUUAAAAUGUUUAUUGUCGUUUUAUUUUAAUAAUUUGGAUAACAUAUAUGAAGAUCAUCGAGGUUUGUCUAAAGUCUCAAAAGAGCCCUGUAAACAUAGAACAAAUACCCAUACUUCAAAUAUGUCUAGUUAGUAGUCAAACUAUAAAGUAUAAAUAGUGAAUAUCCAUUUGUCAACAGACAUUGAAACAUAAUCUACAAGGAAAUCCUCACGGAAAAGAGAGGAAUUGCUACCAUCAUGUGCAAGGGUUACGCUAUCAGGUAAUCAUGUGCAAGGGUUACGCUAUCAGGUAGGGGCAGUGUCCUACCCAAUUAAUCCGAUGUGCCCACCAAAAACGCCGUUAUAACGGCUAGCACACUGACACCCCCUCCCCCCCCACACACACACGAGGGUGGAUUUCCGAUGUUAUGACAUUCGGCGUUACUGUGGCAACGGGAGGCAUAGGAGUUAUUCGCUUGUAUUUUCGAUCAAACGGUCCUAUUUUAGACCGUUGUUAAAUGGUCAUAAACAUUAAAAGGAAUAAGAUUAACUCUACUAUAAAUACACAUAUUUAACUCAUUUUACCUAAACAAUACAUCUAUUUCUCUUAACUUCACAUUUCUCUUAAUUUUCAUUUCUUUUCUUUCUUUCGGGCGUGAUAACAUGUAACAACAUGUUGCCCACACCUAGUAGUCUUAACGGAUGGAGUGGCGGGUGGCCGAUGCACACCAAGAACGCUAUGUGGCGGUUGCUGACUGUUGGACUUGGAGGCUAGAUCCUGCAAUGGUGGUGUGACUAUAGUGAUUUGUUUUGUACCAGUUUUAUGC
Lactuca sativa (garden lettuce) is the source of this 1665-nucleotide long non-coding RNA. RefSeq lists it as uncharacterized. The record is from RefSeq and is a predicted model, not a curated record. NCBI's taxonomy places the organism in Eukaryota, Viridiplantae, Streptophyta, Magnoliopsida, Asterales, Asteraceae.